Molecule: non-coding RNA, 704 nt
Organism: Pelobates cultripes (western spadefoot toad)
Lineage: Eukaryota; Metazoa; Chordata; Amphibia; Anura; Pelobatidae
Source: the annotation of a GenBank genome assembly
GUUUCUUUAAAGGGAUACCCACUGCUCAAAUACAAAGUAAGUAAAAAUGACUGGGUUGAUAUACCUUUAAAUGAAAACCUGCAGUCUUCCCCUUCCCUCCCCACCCAAUGAAGUCUUUUCAAGGCAGGUGUUCUGGACAAUAGUUGCCUCUUGAGAAAUCUGCGCUUUUUGCAAAAUAAAUGACACACUUCGCUCAAAGUUUUUCAGCAAGUAUGGGGUCUGGAGUGCCCAUUUGGCCAUGUUACUGUCACCUGGCUUACAAACUGACAGGUUUUGUUACUUCCUGGUUUGUUUAGCUCGGUGGAGCUAACUCAAAAGGGAGGCAACUGGACAGUGCGCUUGGCUUGCCGUGACUUACCAUUGAACUGCAUUGAAAAGGUAAUCGGACAGCCACAGAAUUUUUUUUUUUUUUUUUUUUUAAAGCUAUACCCCCAAUGAAACAAAUGCAUAAUUAAAGAAACAACGUUGGUGUUAAGCAUACAAAGAUAUAUUCCUAACAAACUGGUUCCUCUGCACCUGGCAUUGAGAUGUAGUAGUCUGACUAUAGUAUUAGGAAUACAAAACUGUAUUCCUAACACUGUUGCCUUUCCCCAUCCAUGAAAGGGUUAAAGAGCAGUUUUUAACACUUUAUUUCCAGGCCAAGACCAAUGAGAUGAUAUAUGGGUGCUUAUAGUUUCCCUUUUAAAGGCAUGUUUUUGUUUGGG